This is a long non-coding RNA of Strigops habroptila (Kakapo), 1576 nucleotides long. The record is from Ensembl. NCBI's taxonomy places the organism in Eukaryota, Metazoa, Chordata, Aves, Psittaciformes, Psittacidae.
AAGUCCGGAUCUAACAUGGCGGCCAACGCCACCACUAACCCUUCGCAGCUCUUGCCGCUCGGUAACCGGCGCCGCCGGCGCCACGCUUCCGCGCUCUCGCGGUGCCCCGGCGGAGCGGGGAGGGGGUCCAUCUGCUGACCGGCGGCCGGGGAGGAAGGGAGGGAGAGGCUGUUUGCGGGCUCCUCCGCCCUCGCGGGAGGUUUGAAUGGGGCGGGCGCGCUGGAGGCGCCUCGCGUCAGGCGGGUGUUUCCUUGCCCAGCCCUGGGCGGGGGGGAGUCGGUGGGUGUGGGGAGGGGUUUGGGGAUACUUGGGGGUCUUCUGGGUCGUGGCUGGGGGCGAGCGCUGGUGCUCGGCCGUCCCCCCCGUAACGAACCGCACGCUGGCGGCAGCAGGGUGCUCUGGUUAGGGAGAGCGUGGUCUUGCAGCGUUCGCUUGCUGCCUCAGAAACGAGUUUAUCUGCUAGCAGCGGUAGAGCGUGCAAGGAGACUCUUUAAAUAUAUAUCUUUAGUGUCUUUUUAGGACAAGAGGUAACGGCCUCAAGCUGCGCCAGGGGAGGUUUAGACUGGAUGGUGGGAAAAAUCUCCUCACGGAAAGGGUGAUCAGGCAUUGGAACUGGCUGCCCAGGGAAGUGGUGGAAUCACCAUCCCUGGAAAUGUUCAAAAACCGUGUAGAUGAGGCCCUCAGUGACGUGGUUUAGUGGUGGUUUUGGCAGUCCUGGGGUAACGGUUGGACUUGAUGAUAUUAAAAGCCUUUUCCAAUCUAGGGAAUUCUAUGAUUUCAUUAUUUCCCUAAUUUUUUUGUUUAUGUGUUUUGGUUUGAGGUUUUUUGUUGUUUUGUUGUGGUUUUUUUCACCAGUGUAUGUGGCAAUUACUUAUUUGCCAUCAUGGUGUCGGGGGGGGUGUCCUAAAAAAUGUGCAUUCCAUAAAAUAAUCUCUUGUGCAUGUUAAAUCUUUUGUUUGUUUUUAUUGACAGAGCUUGUGGACAAGUGCAUAGGUUCACGCAUCCAUAUCGUGAUGAAGAGUGAUAAAGAAAUUGUUGGAACGCUUCUAGGGUUUGAUGACUUUGUCAAUAUGGUGUUAGAAGAUGUUACAGAAUUUGAGAUUACACCUGAAGGCAGAAGAAUCACGAAGCUAGACCAGAUUUUGCUAAAUGGAAAUAAUAUAACAAUGCUGGUUCCUGGAGGAGAAGGACCUGAAGUAUAAAUUGAUACGGUUGUCAUCUGUGAAGACAUGUUAUAUGUUUGUGUGUGUAUAUAUAUAUAUAAUAUAUAUAUUCUAAAUAGAGCCUUUGGGAUAUGAGUGUCAGUGGGUUUUGGCAUGGGCUGUUUGUUGGGUUUUUUAGUUACACACUCUUGCAGUUGACAUUUGAUAAAAGGCAAGGAUUUCACCUUCAGGAAAGGUACAUUGCUAACGGUAAUGCUGACCUUGUGAGUUGAAUCAUGACUUUUUUGUAAAAACAUACCAAUCUGUUCUGAAUAAAAUGCUUUCUUUUUGUUAGUUAUUGUGUUAAGUGCACAAGUUGGAUAGUUUUAUAACUGAUUGAUGCAAUGGAAAAAUAAUAAUUAUUUUUCAGUUGG